Molecule: unclassified non-coding RNA, 274 nt
Filed under: Thelephora sp.
Lineage: Eukaryota; Fungi; Basidiomycota; Agaricomycetes; Thelephorales; Thelephoraceae
Description: partial internal transcribed spacer region
Rfam family: Eukaryotic small subunit ribosomal RNA (bases 1-46)
Source: RNAcentral
AAGUCGUAACAAGGUUUCCGUAGGUGAACCUGCGGAAGGAUCAUUACCGAAUUGUCAAACGGGUUGUUGCUGGUCCUCAAACGGGGACACGUGCACGCUCUGUUUACACAUCCACUCACACCUGUGCACCCUCUGUAGUUCUAUGGUCUGGAGGACCCUGUCCUCCUGCUGUGGUUCUAUGUCUUUACACACACGCUGUAAUAAAGUCUUAUGGAAUGUAUGCCGCGUCUAACGCAAUACAAUACAACUUUCAGCAACGGAUCUCUUGGCUCUC